GCCUGCUUAGCUCAGCUGGUUAGAGCGUUCGUCUCAUGUGCGAAAAGUCACUCGUUCAAGUCGAGUAGCUGGCA
RNAcentral lists this transfer RNA (74 nucleotides) under Ostreobium sp. TRHA14-720. RNAcentral describes it as "tRNA-Met". It matches the Rfam family "tRNA". Rfam says of the family: Transfer RNA (tRNA) molecules are approximately 80 nucleotides in length. Their secondary structure includes four short double-helical elements and three loops (D, anti-codon, and T loops). The record is from RNAcentral. Lineage: Eukaryota; Viridiplantae; Chlorophyta; Ulvophyceae; Bryopsidales; Ostreobiaceae.